Molecule: ribosomal RNA, 258 nt
Filed under: uncultured bacterium
Lineage: Bacteria
Description: partial 16S ribosomal RNA
Rfam family: Bacterial small subunit ribosomal RNA
Source: RNAcentral
CCUACGGGACGCAGCAGUGGGGAAUAUUGCACAAUGGGGGAAACCCUGAUGCAGCGACGCCGCGUGAGUGAAUGAGUAAUUCGUUACGUAAAGCUCUAUCAGCAGGGAAGAAACACUGACCUUACGGUCAGCAGACGGUACCUUAGUAAGAAGCCCCGGCUAACUACGUGCCAGCAGCCGCGGUAAUACGUAGGUAGCAAGCGUUAUCCGGAUUUACUGGGUGUAAAGUGAGCGUAGACGGUGCGCCAAGUCUGGCGU